This 451-nucleotide ribosomal RNA is filed under the name uncultured bacterium. RNAcentral's name for it is "partial 16S ribosomal RNA". It matches the Rfam family "Bacterial small subunit ribosomal RNA", at positions 354 to 796 of the family's 1533-position model. The record is from RNAcentral.
GUGGGGAAUAUUGGACAAUGGGGGGAACCCUGAUCCAGCCAUGCCGCGUGUGUGAAGAAGGCCUUUUGGUUGUAAAGCACUUUAAGUGAGGAGGAGGCUACCGAGAUUAAUACUCUUGGAUAGUGGACGUUACUCGCAGAAUAAGCACCGGCUAACUCUGUGCCAGCAGCCGCGGUAAUACAGAGGGUGCAAGCGUUAAUCGGAUUUACUGGGCGUAAAGCGCGCGUAGGUGGCCAAUUAAGUCAAAUGUGAAAUCCCCGAGCUUAACUUGGGAAUUGCAUUCGAUACUGGUUGGCUAGAGUAUGGGAGAGGAUGGUAGAAUUCCAGGUGUAGCGGUGAAAUGCGUAGAGAUCUGGAGGAAUACCGAUGGCGAAGGCAGCCAUCUGGCCUAAUACUGACGCUGAGGUACGAAAGCAUGGGGAGCAAACAGGAUUAGAUACCCCAGUAGUCC